GUGCCGCCCCCAGCCCCAUAGGAGCCCGCCGCCUCCCUCCGGAGCGCUGUGGGUCGGGUUUGGGCCCGGGCAGAGCUUCCAGGGAAGGCGUUUUGCUGGCCAAAAGAAGUGUAGAAACGCCCUGCCGAGAUCCAGGUAAGGCAAAAGUUACCCUUGCUUUCCUUCCGAGCCGGGGAAGGGGGAAGCAGCAGGAAUAGCUCAGACCCACCAGGGCUGCUCCCAGCUGGCAAGAAAUACCCUGCAGCUCGGAGAGGCACCGGCAGCGUGAUUUCUUCACGGCUCCCAGGUGUGAAUCACCUGCAGGAUCUCUUUUUUUUCCCCUCCAAGAGCCCCGGACCUGGCUCUGGGUUCUGCUCCUUUCCCCGCCUGCACCUGCCCCACCGCCUCCCCGGGCUCCGCGCUGCAGUCACCGCCCGUGCUCGCUUUGCCUUUACCUUUCUGCUAGGGAAAUGGUUUUAACUUCCAGCUCGCAGAGGUUCAGUCACCCAGUGUGACAAUCACCGUCCUGUGGACAUCGCCACCGCAUGUCUGAUGCUGUAACGUACCGUUUGGGACAUGGUAACGCGGGGUACCGGACAGUUCUUCCUCUCCUGCUGCAGCUGACGUUGCUUCGUGCCCUGCAGAAACAGAGAGGGGGAAGUUCCUCUGCAGCAGUGCUUGCACACCCUGUAGGACUGCAAUGGGAUGUCCCGACACCCACCAGCACUUCUGGUCCUUACUGAGCGGAACAAAUUGCUUAGUUGGGGCCAGAACCCUCAGAGGCAAGGUUUGCAGCAUGACCGAGGGCUAAAGAAGUUCUGAUUCUGUUUAGUGAUAAUCUGAGGGCACUGAAUUUGUGUCUCAGUAGCUGUGCAUUUGUUACCCUGAGCAUAUGAAGCUGUUAAAUUUUUAUUGACGUGCAGUAUUUAUGUUUGUAAUAAGCAUUGAUACAACUCCAUUAAAUCCUGUCUGAGUCCUCCAUCAUCCCUACGGUAUAGGUUUGACUUCUGUUUUACAGCCGGGGGAUGUUAAACAUGAAGAUUAAUUGCUGUGCCAUAACGAAUUAGAGAGAGUCGUGUGACAUGUCUGCUGCACUUCCCAGUCCUCUAGGUAACACGACUUCCACUCACUAAUAUUGUAUGGAACGAUAAAGAUGUAUUUCGUGUGACACAGAGAGACGUGUUCGAAUAGCUCUAGUGGAGAGGGUUUUUUUUUCAGAUGUUUACCCUAAAUGCCCACAGUGGCACAAUAAUCUCAACUGGCUGCUCCUACUGUAGAGGUUCUCUGGAAACAAACGAAUGCUUUCUCUUGACCUGUUACCUUGGUAACAUCCUUGUUUCUAAAUGAAAGAAAUUCCUUGUUUCCAAAUUAGCCUUUACAGAUAAUUUAUGGUAUCAUAGAC
Oxyura jamaicensis (ruddy duck) is the source of this 1381-nucleotide long non-coding RNA. RefSeq lists it as uncharacterized. The record is from RefSeq and is a predicted model, not a curated record. The transcript has 3 exons. NCBI's taxonomy places the organism in Eukaryota, Metazoa, Chordata, Aves, Anseriformes, Anatidae.